Molecule: long non-coding RNA, 6345 nt
Filed under: Chlamydomonas reinhardtii
Lineage: Eukaryota; Viridiplantae; Chlorophyta; Chlorophyceae; Chlamydomonadales; Chlamydomonadaceae
Description: long non-coding RNA (CREI_LNC000541)
Source: RNAcentral
CGGACACGAAUGGCGGGGCACGUUCCAUUAGUUUGCUUGUGUAUGUGUAAGGAAGUUUUGUACCUUUGUUGUGCCACACGCCCGUUCUUGAUCUUGCCCGAUGCACACACUGACCUGCAGACGCGGACGGUUCCUUCACGGGCACCAAGCGCCCCACGCUGGUAGCGUCCUACUCCGCCACCAACAACACCGGGCCCUGCGAUGCCGCUGCGCCCACACCCUGCACCUCGAGCUUUAACUGGUGGCGCACGGACACGGCCUGCACGGCCACGCCGCCAAAUGUGUGAGUGCGGGGUCGGCUGGGCUAUUGGCUGUGCCGGUGACUUGGCAGUGCAGGGCAACAUAGCACGCACUGCUGACACUCAACACCACUGGCAUUGCUAUCUGUCCCUCAACCAACAAACACAUGCGCAGGCCUGCAACGUCGAACGUCCUCGCGUGUGACUGGUGGGUGGAGAAUGGACGGACCUGCUGUGUGCUUUGUGGAUGCAAACAUAGCAGCUGUUGCCUUUUAUGCUGCACAUUGACGGAUACGUACAUGGGCAUUGACCCUACCUGCUUUUACUCGCCGUGUUCGCCAGGUACCCAUGGCGCACCCAGGGGCGCCUGAGGCUGGAGGUGCCGAGCUAUGACCUCACGGUAACAACUUGAUGGUCUGCACGCCUCGCUAUGAACCUUCCACGUGGGGUGUCCCAACCAACAACGUGUUAUGCGACCUGCAUUCGCGUCACGUUUGCCUUGACUACGCUCCUGCGCAGACUGAAGAGGCUGGCUGGUUGUGGCCUUCCGUCAACAACAUCAACGUGUACGACGCCGGCGUGGUGGCGCAGUUCGGCCAGACCGGCGCCAACCGCCGCGCCACCAUCAUCACUCGGGCCGAGGGCGUGACGGGCCUGACGGGGCGCGGCGGCUGGUACGCGCACUGGAGCCUGGGCGCACCCAAGUACGUCAAGGUGCAUUUGGAGACUGUGCCCCGCGGCACCUCCAUCAUCUUUGCUACACGCUACCCCGCCGGCACCACCUUCAGCAUCACCCGCGUGGCCAGCUCCUGGCUGGUGCCUGACGGGCAGCUGCUGCCCGCGACCAGCCUGGCGGCGGUGCUGGGCAGCGACUCCGGCGAGUUCUACUUCUUUGACGGCAAGCUGCUGUACCUGAAGCUGGUGGACCUUUGGGAGGAGCCGUACCAGGGUCGGCUGCCGGCCCGGAGCGGCGGGCUGAUGGUGCCCGGCAGCCGCUGGGAGGAGUACUAUGAGGUGACGGCCAGCAUCCCUGGCUGCUCCACGUCGCCGUACCCCAGCCAGAACGGACAAGACUUCUCUGGGCAGUUCUGUGCCAUGAACGUGAGUCAGGAUCAGGCCAAUGAGGCCAUGCAUUGGGACUGGGAGUAGGCAUGGCAGGGGCAGCAGGGGCAGGGACUGUGUGCACGUGCCCCUUUGGAACCCAGAACGGCGCCAGCCUCACCAAACCUGCCGCUGGGCCACCCUGUGUACAUACCGUAUGACAUUCUUCCUCUCCUUGCGCUCCAGGGCACUGUGGACAGCUUCAUCCCGCCCGCCAUCACGGCGGCCUACAACGAAUGGACCAUCCCCUACUGCGCCGAGGUGGCGCCGCCGCUGAGCGUAUGCAGCGCACUCAACGUGUCUGCCGGCAACUGCACCUGCGCGACGUUGCAGCAGCAGGGCCGCUGCGCUGACAUGGGAACCGGCGGCGUGUGGCUGGGCAACACGUCGGACGCCAACCUGCGUGCCAAUGUGGCCAAGACGCUCGGCUACUGCUCUGUGACGUGCGGUCGCUGCAGCGAGGGCCAGGAGUGGUGCCGCGACAUCCCCAUCAUGCCGCUCAGCCUGUCCAGUGAGUGGAAGGAGGGGAUGAGGACACUUGUAAGGCGUUUGCAGUUUGGCUUGCUUCGUGGUUCUAACGCUUCCCGCGGUGUGGCGCCCCUCCCAUUCCAUCUUUGCCUGCAGAGAACCAGACGUGCUCGCAGAUGGUUCCGCUGGGCCGCUGCUACGAGGUGGCGCCCAAGGGCUACUGCCACGACACGUGUGGCGUGUGCAGCGGCGCAGGGCUGCCGUGUGUGGACCUGCGCUGGACAGAUCAGUACACAUGCGCCGACCUCAAGUCUUGGGGCUCGUGCAAUGACACCUGGGUCACGGACAACAACUUUUGUCGAAAGACGUGCGGCGCGUGCACGGGCAUGCCCCGGCCACCGUCGCCGCGGCCGCCUUCGCCACGCCCGCCAUCUCCUUCGCCUCCGUCGCCACGCCCACCAUCGCCGCCCUCACCUCCCUCGCCUAGCCCGCCCUCUCCUAAGCCGCCCUCGCCACCGUCUCCUCCUUCACCCAGCCCACCGUCUCCCAAGCCGCCUACACCGCCAUCCCCCGUGCCGCCCUCGCCCAAGCCUCCCGUGCCGCCUUCUCCCGUACCACCCUCACCGAAGCCCCCUGCGCCUCCUUCGCCCUCCCCGCCAUCUCCCAAGCCGCCCGCGCCCUCUCCCCCUCCGGUCCCUCCAUCCCCAAAGCCACCGUCUCCCUCGCCGCCCACACCUCCCAAGCCGCCGUCGCCUUCCCCGCCCUCGCCGUCGAACAGCCCUUGGCGUUGCACCGGCAACACGGCCGGCAUCGCUGGGUGUGUGGACCCGGCAUCCUACCCAGCGCCUGCCUCGUCAGCCAACGCAGCGACUUGCGGCGUCCUUCCUUCGUGCACAACCAUCGGCUGCCCCCAUUGCGACGCGUCGCUCAAGCGCUGGGACUCGGCUGCGACGUGGACAAAUUACGCUAACCAGGUGCCGGUGUCAGGCGCGGACAAGGACGUAACUCUUCCGCCGGGCACCCGUGUGCUGCUUUCGGGCUGCAUGCUGAGCGGGGGCUCGCGCUUCCGCCGCAUCACCGUUCCCGAGGGCAGCCAGGUAUGCGUCUUGGCGCAUUUGUGGUAAACUGCAAAUGCGGGGACCAGGACCUUGCGCGUUGGAAGUUGGGUGGUUAGCCAACGAAACCGUGUGUGUAAGCCGAGCUUGGGCGUUGCAACCCGGGCGCCUUCCCUGCUCACUUCAAUCGUGCCGUACGCGUUUUGGUCACGCCUCACACCAUGUCCCUGCCCCGGCUUUCUGUGCGCUGUGCAGCUGGUUAUAGACGACGCGCCGCUGAACCUGACGCUGACCACGCUGCUGGUGCAAGGCAACUUCAGUAUGGGCUCCGCCAGCUGCCGCCUGCAGAGCGCCAUCUCCAUCACGUUCGCGCCCGCGGCAGGAGUGCCCACCAACAUGAUGGCGCUCAAGGUGUGCAGGGAAAGCUUCUUUGGGACGGGCCCUCAGUAGGGCAUGUGGGUCGGGAUCGCCCGUGUCCAGGUGGGCUAGGUGGCAGUGUCGCGGGCAAUCAAGGUGUUCAUGCUGGACUCUGUGGCGUAGGAGCACUGUGUGUGCACUCUCCUCUUGUACACCUGCACCAAGGGUUCCCUCCCCUGCACAGGGCAUGAACACCAGCACUGUGGACAUGCACGGCGUGCUGUUCACGCCCACUUGGACGCGGCUGACUCAGACAGCGGCCCCGGGCACUCGUUGGGUGACUGUGCGCGACGCAGUCAACUGGCGUGUGGGGCAGCUGGUGGCCGUCCCUACCAGCGUGUGGAAAGACGAGUGCCGCAACCAGAACGAGGUCAGGCAGAUCCAGAGCAUCAGCGCCGACGGCAAGAACAUCACAUUCACGACGGCGCUGCAGUUUUUGCACUACGGGUAGGUUGGCGCUAACCUUCGAGUGAUGCUGUUUGGACGGCCGGGGCCCGUUUAUGUGCAUGUGGUGCCCAUAGUGACACCACGUACCAUCGCGGUCCUGGUGCAGGGGCCCCGAGUACCAGACGGAAGUGGUGCUCCUGAGCCGCAGCAUCCUGUUGCAAGGCAGCCCCGAGUCCGCGGCCGAGCUGGCGGGCGGGCACGUGCGCAUUGAGAGCAAGGUGGGUUCGCGCGAGGGCAAGGUGACCACUUGGCGGCGGCAUGCUGGUUGGCAUUAACGUGCAGUGCGAACGCGCACUUGUAUCUUCGAGUGAACCUCCGCUCACCUGGCGGUUCCCGUGAUCUGUGACGUGCAGCGCGGGCGCAUCCGCGGCGUGCUGGGCUACCGCAUGGGCCAGCAGUUUCAGAUGGGCAGCUACCCGUUCCAUUUCCACAUGGCGGGCGAGGUGCCGUCUGACAGCUACAUGACCGACAACGCAGUGUACGCCAGCUACUGGCGAGGUGCGCUUAUGGAGGCUUCAGGAUGUGUGUACUGUGAAGGCUGUCGUUGCAGAAUGGCCAUCCCAAACUUGCCCUGAUGACUGCCUUGACCGUAUGCCUACCUCUUGCCCACGCUCGCAGCCUUCACCAUCCACGGCACGCACGCGCUGACGGUGGCCAGCAACACCGCCUUCCACGUGGCCGGCUCGGCGUUCUACAUUGAGGACGGCGCGGAGGAGCGCAACCGCAUCAGCGGCAACUUUGCCGGCUUCGUGCACCCGCUGGGCCGUGUGGACACGUGCGACGCGGUUGGCAGCGUGUUCGGCGCGCCCACCAUCUACCAGUCUGCUACACUGCUGCAGCCUGCCGACUGGGCCGCUGCUGGCUUCUACCUUAGGUGGGCGCAUGGGGCUAGGGCCGCCUGUGUAUGGUUUCUUGCCUUUGCAAUAUCUGCGUGCGUGCCAUACGCUACGACUUGGUGAUUCCCACACGGGCUUCCCAUCGUUGCAGCAACGCCUACAACUACAUCGACAACAACGCGGCCAGUGGCGGCACCAGCGGCUUCAUGUUCCUGAACCUGCCCUUGCCGAUCGGGGUGAGUGCCGGUGUGUGCCCCCUCAUUGCAUGCUGGGUGGCAUCUUUCUUUCACAAUGCUCAAUCGUGACCCGGCUGGUGACUUCGUUUCACUAUGCCGCCUGUGCGUGCCCAUAUCUGCCCAGCUGAACCGCAACGUGCCGCUGGAGCCCUACAAGCGGCCCCCGCUGAGCUUCAGCGGCAACACCGCGCACUCGUCCGGCUAUCACUGGGACAAUGCGGGUGCAAUCUACUGCGGCGGUAACCUGCAGUACGACACAGACAACGUGACGCUGAUCUACAAGAUUGAGCGGUCCACGUUUGACCCCACGUGAGUCUUUGUGAGCUGCUUACAGCUUUCCCUUUCGCCCAGCCAUUUCGGCAACAUGCGCCGUACUCUCCCUCACUUACUUACCACAGAGACACGGCCAACUCUUCGUUACCGGUCAAGUUUGUGUUGCGCAACACCAAAGUGUGGCUGGGCGGCUUCUCAGUCGCUUCCUAUGGCGACCGGUUCUUGGUGAGUCAUUACGAUGCAUGUGGCCUUUGCCCCUGUGACUGCUUGCAAGCACGUUUGCUGCUGGACCGCACAUGAACCUACGCGCUACCUACCUGCGUCUUGCUUGUGCCCGCCCCCAGGUGGACGGCUUUGAGUCGCAUGACGGCACCAUGGGCGCGGCGGUGCGCGGUGACCCCAAUGAGCUGCUCAAUGCCGACCUGAACCUCAACUCCGCCCACGCCGGCUGGCUGACUGCCAACAUCCCCAAUGAGUGAGUCUUCUGCCUGCAAUCAUAGGCCAUGCUAUGCCGCUCGUCGCAGCUACCCGGUCGAUAACGCCCGUAAGCCCCAUCGCACCCGGCUGCUCCUUUGGUUUACCACUCGCAGCCUGCAACAAGGCUACCGCUUCGGUCUGCAGUUCUACGACACGUGGAUGCGGCACCUUAUGUCCAACGUCACCAUCCGCAACGUGGUGUACAGCAGCACCGAGUGGCUCACGCAGGCGGCGCUGGUGGCAUUGACCUUUUCGGACCAGUUUAAGCCGUUCCACGUGGCCAGCAUUCGGGGCAUCCGCCUAGUGAACGUGACCAAGGCGGCCGUGUUGAGCAACCCCGUGGUCCGCACUGGGUCAUGGCGCUUCUACAACUUCCUGGGUGCGGACACGAAUGGCGGGGCACGUUCCAUUAGUUUGCUUGUGUAUGUGUAAGGAAGUUUUGUACCUUUGUUGUGCCACACGCCCGUUCUUGAUCUUGCCCGAUGCACACACUGACCUGCAGACGCGGACGGUUCCUUCACGGGCACCAAGCGCCCCACGCUGGUAGCGUCCUACUCCGCCACCAACAACACCGGGCCCUGCGAUGCCGCUGCGCCCACACCCUGCACCUCGAGCUUUAACUGGUGGCGCACGGACACGGCCUGCACGGCCACGCCGCCAAAUGUGUGAGUGCGGGGUCGGCUGGGCUAUUGGCUGUGCCGGUGACUUGGCAGUGCAGGGCAACAUAGCACGCACUGCUGACACUCAACACCACUGGCAUUGCUAUCUGUCCCUCAACCAACAAACACAUGCGCAG